CCCUUAGAUGUUCUGGGCCGCACGCGUGCUACACUGAGUGGAUCAGCGGGUCAGGUUGCGCGAAAGCGUUUCCUAAUCUUUAAAUCCGCUCGUGAUGGGGAUUGACGGUUGCAAUUUUCUGUCAUGAACGAGGAAUACCUUGUAAGCGCGGGUCAUCAUCCCGCGCUGAAUCCGUCCCUGCCCUUUGUACACACCGCCCGUCGCUCCUACCGAUUGAGUGGUCCGGUGAGGCUUUGGGAUCUGAGCGGAAAGAGCGUUUCGCUGUUUCUGCUCGGAAAACUCAGUCGAACCUUAUCAUUUAGAGGAAGGAGAAGUCGUAACA
RNAcentral lists this ribosomal RNA (322 nucleotides) under uncultured eukaryote. Its description in RNAcentral is "partial 18S ribosomal RNA". It matches the Rfam family "Eukaryotic small subunit ribosomal RNA", at positions 1470 to 1796 of the family's 1831-position model. The record is from RNAcentral.